UCUAGAUAUACACUACUUUCUCUUCCACUCUUCCACCUCUUCAGUGCUCAUUCACUUUCUUUCUCUUCAUCUCCACGCCACUCUUUCGCCUCGACCCCCUCUCUCUUUCGUCACUUUCAUUCCUCUGCCUCUCUCUCCCUCCUCGACGAAGCCCUAAUGCUCUCAGUAAGAGCAUGACUAUGAACGGGAGAAGCUCAGCGAGACACUUGCAAACUUUUUCGGUGGUGUUGCUGUGAUACAAGCAAACACUAGAGACAUAUUAAAGAUGGUUCUCACCAGAGCUUACACACUUGGGCCAAACCAAUAUUGAAACAAGGAGAAAUUGAAAAACUUAUUGAUCCAAAGCUGGGAGGGGCCUAUGAUAUUACUCAGCUAAAAAGACUUGCCUUUGCUGCAUCACU
Molecule: long non-coding RNA, 401 nt
Organism: Humulus lupulus (European hop)
Lineage: Eukaryota; Viridiplantae; Streptophyta; Magnoliopsida; Rosales; Cannabaceae
Exons: 3
Source: RefSeq, a predicted model, not a curated record